RNAcentral lists this long non-coding RNA (696 nucleotides) under Columba livia (rock pigeon). Its description in RNAcentral is "partial uncharacterized LOC106146004". Lineage: Eukaryota; Metazoa; Chordata; Aves; Columbiformes; Columbidae. The record is from RNAcentral.
GAAACGGCAACAUGAAUUCGUAGAUGAUGAGUAGGAUGCCCAAGCCAGAGAUGACAGUGCUCUUGAGGAAGUGCUGGGUAGAACAAAAAGUCUGACUUGUGUGUAUAACUGAGCGUGCCCAAUCAUCACACUGACCCAGCCAGACCCACAUCCGCCGCAGAAUGACAACAAAGACCUUUCUAAAGGACUUGGUAUUUCAGCUCCCUCUUCACAAAGUGCCCGAACGCCACACCUCCGAGCAGCCGCAGCUUUUACCAGUGUGCUGCUAAAAAUGAUCCACGAUCUGGGCUGCAACAACUCGUGGCAGCUCUGCUUUCUUGCUGCUUAUCAGCAGGAGGCGGCUCCGUGUUUGUGCCUCUGGAAAGUGGGGAGCUGGGGAACUAGAAAAAUACCAGCAGCACUUCAAUUCGAAUGGCUCCUUUCUUAUUUUAUUGCACAAGGAAUUAAAUGGAAAUAUUUGGGACUUUGCUGGCGUGUUUGAUGAAAAAUCCAGGUUCAAAUAGCAUCUACAGAGAUCACAUUGCUGUAAUAACGUGUAUGCUACCGUUAAAAUUACAUAUGAUUUCAGGUAUAUAAGAUUCAGUUUAUCAGGGUUGUGGGGUUUUGUGUCCUGGUAGGAAAGCUUAUACUGAGGAAGAGAAUGAGAUCAUUAGCCAUAUGUAGCAGAGUCCAUACGCUACUUCGACACCCCUUAGA